RNAcentral lists this ribosomal RNA (447 nucleotides) under uncultured bacterium. Its description in RNAcentral is "bacterial SSU rRNA". It matches the Rfam family "Bacterial small subunit ribosomal RNA", at positions 355 to 825 of the family's 1533-position model. The record is from RNAcentral.
UCGGGAAUUUUGGGCAAUGGGCGAAAGCCUGACCCAGCAACGCCGCGUGAAGGAUGAAGUAUUUCGGUAUGUAAACUUCGUAAGAAUAGGAAGAAUAAAUGACGGUACUAUUUGUAAGGUCCGGCUAACUACGUGCCAGCAGCCGCGGUAAUACGUAGGGACCAAGCGUUGUUCGGAUUUACUGGGCGUAAAGGGCGCGUAGGCGGCAAUUCAAGUCAUCUGUGAAAUCUCCGGGCUUAACUCGGAACGGUCAGAUGAUACUGCUUUGCUAGAGUGCAGAAGGGGCAAUCGGAAUUCUUGGUGUAGCGGUGAAAUGCGUAGAUAUCAAGAGGAACACCUGAGGUGAAGACGGGUUGCUGGGCUGACACUGACGCUGAGGCGCGAAAGCCAGGGGAGCAAACGGGAUUAGAUACCCCGGUAGUCCCUGAGCGGGCUGGCAAGGCGCAU